This is a small nuclear RNA of Suncus etruscus (white-toothed pygmy shrew), 150 nucleotides long. RefSeq annotates it as U12 minor spliceosomal RNA. The transcript has a single exon. Lineage: Eukaryota; Metazoa; Chordata; Mammalia; Eulipotyphla; Soricidae. The record is from RefSeq and is a predicted model, not a curated record.
AUGCCUUAAACUAAUGAGUAAGAAAAAUAAGAAUUCUGGGAGAUGCCAGAAUUCUCAUUGCUAAUGUGAGACAAAUUUUUGUGUGGGUGAAGAUUGCCCAUAGGGUGACCCACCUACUUUGCCGGAUGACCAAAUGGUGCAAUGUGCCCA